AUGUUGGAUGAUGAACUGAAACAUUCGGAUUCCCAUUGAUUUCCUUAAGAUGAUAUUAUUAACCAGCUACUUCUGACACAU
Small nucleolar RNA from Phoenix dactylifera (date palm), 81 nucleotides. RefSeq annotates it as small nucleolar RNA R12. NCBI's taxonomy places the organism in Eukaryota, Viridiplantae, Streptophyta, Magnoliopsida, Arecales, Arecaceae. The record is from RefSeq and is a predicted model, not a curated record.